This 488-nucleotide ribosomal RNA is filed under the name Alternaria sp. LGMF626. Its description in RNAcentral is "eukaryotic LSU rRNA". The stretch from base 146 to 299 matches the Rfam family "5.8S ribosomal RNA". The record is from RNAcentral. Lineage: Eukaryota; Fungi; Ascomycota; Dothideomycetes; Pleosporales; Pleosporaceae.
GGCUGACUCUCGGGGUUACAGCUUGCUGAAUUAUUCACCCUUGUCUUUUGCGUACUUCUUGUUUCCUUGGUGGGUUCGCCCACCACUAGGACAAACAUAAACCUUUUGUAAUUGCAAUCAGCGUCAGUAACAAAUUAAUAAUUACAACUUUCAACAACGGAUCUCUUGGUUCUGGCAUCGAUGAAGAACGCAGCGAAAUGCGAUAAGUAGUGUGAAUUGCAGAAUUCAGUGAAUCAUCGAAUCUUUGAACGCACAUUGCGCCCUUUGGUAUUCCAAAGGGCAUGCCUGUUCGAGCGUCAUUUGUACCCUCAAGCUUUGCUUGGUGUUGGGCGUCUUGUCUCUAGCUUUGCUGGAGACUCGCCUUAAAGUAAUUGGCAGCCGGCCUACUGGUUUCGGAGCGCAGCACAAGUCGCACUCUCUAUCAGCAAAGGUCUAGCAUCCAUUAAGCCUUUUUUUCAACUUUUGACCUCGGAUCAGGUAGGGAUACC